This 295-nucleotide unclassified non-coding RNA is filed under the name Hevea brasiliensis (rubber tree). The record is from RNAcentral. Lineage: Eukaryota; Viridiplantae; Streptophyta; Magnoliopsida; Malpighiales; Euphorbiaceae.
GAACUUCAGUAUCUUUGGGAAAGAUCAUCAUCCUUGUUCUUGUGUGAGGUUUUAUGCGUGAAAUGAAGCUGUAGCACGCAGGGUAUUGGAGAUUUUCUCAGCUUUUUGCACUCUUAUUUCUUCUGCGUGCAACUUCCAGCUAACUAAUAUAAGGAGUACCCAUCCUUUCUUAGUUCUUUUCCAAAGCAUGAACUUGUGAAUCUUGUUCAAGUAAUGCAGCUUGGCAUCUACUAAGAAACGCUUGUAUUUUGUAUUUGAUGUGUGAACUAUAAUGGGCUUGUAUUUUGAUCAGGUG